UGUGUGUGUGUGUGUGUGGUGGAAUUCAUAUAUAUAUAUAUAUAUAUAUACACACACACACACACACACACACACACAUAUAUAUACACAUUU
RNAcentral lists this microRNA precursor (93 nucleotides) under Choloepus hoffmanni (Hoffmann's two-fingered sloth). Its description in RNAcentral is "miRNA (ENSCHOG00000015392.1)". The record is from RNAcentral. Lineage: Eukaryota; Metazoa; Chordata; Mammalia; Pilosa; Megalonychidae.